This 637-nucleotide ribosomal RNA is filed under the name uncultured marine bacterium. RNAcentral describes it as "bacterial SSU rRNA". It matches the Rfam family "Bacterial small subunit ribosomal RNA", at positions 8 to 627 of the family's 1533-position model. The record is from RNAcentral.
AGAGUUUGAUCAUGGCUCAGGACGAACGCUGGCGGCGUGCCUAAUACAUGCAAGUCGAGCGGACAGAUGGGAGCUUGCUCCCUGAAGUCAGCGGCGGACGGGUGAGUAACACGUGGGCAACCUGCCUGUAAGACUGGGAUAACUCCGGGAAACCGGGGCUAAUACCGGAUAAUUCUUUUCCUCACAUGAGGGAAAGCUGAAAGAUGGCAUCUCGCUAUCACUUACAGAUGGGCCCGCGGCGCAUUAGCUAGUUGGUGAGGUAACGGCUCACCAAGGCCACGAUGCGUAGCCGACCUGAGAGGGUGAUCGGCCACACUGGGACUGAGACACGGCCCAGACUCCUACGGGAGGCAGCAGUAGGGAAUCUUCCGCAAUGGACGAAAGUCUGACGGAGCAACGCCGCGUGAGUGAUGAAGGUUUUCGGAUCGUAAAACUCUGUUGUCAGGGAAGAACAAGUACCGGAGUAACUGCCGGUACCUUGACGGUACCUGACCAGAAAGCCACGGCUAACUACGUGCCAGCAGCCGCGGUAAUACGUAGGUGGCAAGCGUUGUCCGGAAUUAUUGGGCGUAAAGCGCGCGCAGGCGGUUCCUUAAGUCUGAUGUGAAAGCCCCCGGCUCAACCGGGGAGGGUCAUU